RNAcentral lists this long non-coding RNA (1071 nucleotides) under Homo sapiens (human). Its description in RNAcentral is "HSALNT0096608". Lineage: Eukaryota; Metazoa; Chordata; Mammalia; Primates; Hominidae. The record is from RNAcentral.
CCUUCAGAUUGGAAUUUAUAUUAAUACCAUCUACUCCUUGGUUCUCAGUCCUUCUGACAUGAACUGGAACAACACCAUCAGCUCUCCCGGAUCUCCAGCUUGCAGACAGCAGAUCAUGGGACUUUUCAGCUUCUGUAAUUGGGAGGUGGUUGAGAACCAUUGACGUAGACUGACUUAGCAGAUCUUCAAAUGUGAAUAGGGAAUCCUGCCAUUCCACUGAUGAGAACAGCAUGCUUAGGAUAUUGCUUCUGAGAAGAAAGACCAUGUGCUUAGAGACUUGUAGAUUAAACCCAGGUCUCUGAUUCCUCACUAGUAUGUUUUCGUAAUAAUCCAUGGUUCUGACUGUUUAAAAGUAGCUUUUAUAUUUAUUGGGUAGAAAUAUCUUCCUGUAACAUAUGUCAUCUGCAGCUUCCAUAGAGGCAUCCUGUUGUAUGUAGUGGCCACAUAACAGACUGCAAAGAACUGGAACGCAGAGUAAUUUUAAUCCAAAAUGUUCAAAGGAUGAACAAAACUGCAAUAAAGCAGAGUAAGUAAACACAAAGAGUGGCCAAGAUGGCCAACUAAAAGCAGAUAGGAUGCGUGGCUCUCACAGAGAGGAAAGGAAGGAAGGGGCAAGUAAAUACAGCACUGCCAACUGACACAUCCAGACAGUCAACACUGGGACUAAUCAAGGAAACAACUCGACCCACAGAGAAUGGAGAAGAGCAAGGCAGGACGACGGCCCAUCUGGGAGCAGAAUGUGGAGCCAAGGGAACCUCCCUUGCCAAAGUCCAGCACCUUUUGAAGGUCUGCAUAGAAAACAUUUGCCAUCUAUUGCCUCUAAAGAUGACCACCUAUGAGACUUCAUCUACAUGAGAUGAAUGAAAUGAUAGGAUAGAAGCCUGGCGGAUAUCUGGACAGAACUAUGCAAGAGCCUUCCUGAGAAUGGAAGCCACAGGAGGGAAAACGGAACUUGGGAAAGGAAAGAGUAAAGUGGAAUUUCAAUGACAUCAUUUAAAUGCCUGGAUCCAAAAGUGUCUGGACAUUCAAUAUCAAAAUAUUUGCUUCUCACAUCAUAUUUCAGUGAUGUGA